This 399-nucleotide ribosomal RNA is filed under the name Bacillus altitudinis. RNAcentral describes it as "bacterial SSU rRNA". It matches the Rfam family "Bacterial small subunit ribosomal RNA", at positions 137 to 524 of the family's 1533-position model. The record is from RNAcentral. Lineage: Bacteria; Bacillati; Bacillota; Bacilli; Caryophanales; Bacillaceae.
ACUGGGAUAACUCCGGGAAACCGGAGCUAAUACCGGAUAGUUCCUUGAACCGCAUGGUUCAAGGAUGAAAGACGGUUUCGGCUGUCACUUACAGAUGGACCCGCGGCGCAUUAGCUAGUUGGUGAGGUAACGGCUCACCAAGGCGACGAUGCGUAGCCGACCUGAGAGGGUGAUCGGCCACACUGGGACUGAGACACGGCCCAGACUCCUACGGGAGGCAGCAGUAGGGAAUCUUCCGCAAUGGACGAAAGUCUGACGGAGCAACGCCGCGUGAGUGAUGAAGGUUUUCGGAUCGUAAAGCUCUGUUGUUAGGGAAGAACAAGUGCAAGAGUAACUGCUUGCACCUUGACGGUACCUAACCAGAAAGCCACGGCUACUACGUGCCGCAGCCGCGGUAAU